RNAcentral lists this ribosomal RNA (407 nucleotides) under uncultured bacterium. RNAcentral describes it as "partial 16S ribosomal RNA". It matches the Rfam family "Bacterial small subunit ribosomal RNA", at positions 28 to 526 of the family's 1533-position model. The record is from RNAcentral.
GACGAACGCUGGCGGCGUGCCUAAUACAUGCAAGUAGGACGCAGUUGCGAACGGGAGGGUAACGCGUCGGUAACUACCUAUUGGAGGGGGAUAACUAUUGGAAACGAUAGCUAAUACCGCAUACUAGUAGAUUGAGCUGCGUUGUAUUAGCUAGUAUGUAGGGUAAUGGCCUCCCUAGGCAAAGAUACAUAGCCGACCUGAGGGGGUGGUCUGUCAAACUGGGACUGUAGACCCGCCCAGAAUCCUACGGGAGGCAAGAGUAGGGAAACAUCGCAAAUUGGGGGAAACCUGACCGAGCAACGGCGCGGGAGUGAAGGAGGUUUUCGGGUCGUAAAGCUCUGUUGUGCAGGAAGCGGUACUUAACCAGAAAGGGACGGCUAACUACGUGCCAGCAGCCGCGGUAAUUC